UACGGGAGGCAGCAGUGGGGAAUAUUGCACAAUGGGCGCAAGCCUGAUGCAGCCAUGCCGCGUGUAUGAAGAAGGCCUUCGGGUUGUAAAGUACUUUCAGUCGUGAGGAAGGUGUUAAGGUUAAUAACCUUAGCAAUUGACGUUAGCGACAGAAGAAGCACCGGCUAACUCCGUGCCAGCAGCCGCGGUAAUACGGAGGGUGCGAGCGUUAAUCGGAAUUACUGGGCGUAAAGGGCACGCAGGCGGUUAAUUAAGUUGGAUGUGAAAUCCCCGGGCUUAACCUGGGAAUGGCAUUCAAGACUGGUUAGCUAGAGUCUUGUAGAGGGGGUAGAAUUCCAUGUGUAGCGGUGAAAUGCGUAGAGAUGUGGAGGAAUACCGGGUGGCGAAGGCGGCCCCUGGGACAAAGACUGACGCUCAUGUGCGAAAGCGUGGGGAGCAAGGCAGGGAUUAGGAUACC
RNAcentral lists this ribosomal RNA (457 nucleotides) under uncultured bacterium. RNAcentral's name for it is "bacterial SSU rRNA". It matches the Rfam family "Bacterial small subunit ribosomal RNA", at positions 340 to 786 of the family's 1533-position model. The record is from RNAcentral.